Molecule: long non-coding RNA, 2950 nt
Organism: Propithecus coquereli (Coquerel's sifaka)
Lineage: Eukaryota; Metazoa; Chordata; Mammalia; Primates; Indriidae
Exons: 3
Source: RefSeq, a predicted model, not a curated record
GUCACGCGAGCGCGCACGCAAAGCGGGGUGGGAGAAAGCCAAUGCGUUUUCCUCUUAGGCGGCGCCAUUUUGUGCUCAGAGCCGCUACAUCCGACGCUGGAAUCGGUGGCGGAGACGGGCACUCAAGGAAGGCGGAGGCUGUCGCAAGGUCGGGCGACUCGGGCCCUGGCUCAGGCGCUUCGGAGACCGGGACGCGGCGGCUCAGCACCCUGCAGGCGCAGCUUAAGAAGCGGAACCUGGACACUGGCGGCAACAAGAGCGUCCAGAUGGAACGGCUCAAGGUGAGAUGGGCUGAGGGUCGGGGGUGGCGCAGGAGGCCCGGGGACGUUCCAGCGCGGGCCUGUCACCGCGCUUCCGGGACGCAGGGCGCCCCCGGCCCGCCCCGCUAUUGACCGCCCGGGGCCCGAGCUCCUGGGUAGUCACUGGUCCUGUCUGUGCCUCGCUUCUUACUUUCCUUGCAGCUAUUCCCCUCAGUGCCCUUAAAAGUCUUCUUGGCUACCACGGUGGCUGUUCGACCCAGUUCCAGAUUUGGCUCCGUGACCUUGGGCAGGUGUCUUUCUCUGUUCAUUUUCCUCCUCUGGAGAAUGUGUGCCUGAAGAACCACUGAGAAUUUGCAGUAAAGGGGGGCGGUCCUUGCUGCCCCAGGGCCUUCGCACUUACUGUGCUGGCCACUCACUGGGACUGCUGGUCCCCUAGGUCUUCCCCUCGGCAGGCGUCACUUUAGAACUGCGACAUUGUCUCCCUGAAGUGCUGCGCCAUCUCCUUGUUCCUGUCUGUGGCACCAUCCUGUGUUUACACUCCACCGUGCAAUACUUGACACACUUGUGUCCGUGGGGAUUGUCUCUCCUCCACUGGAGCAAGCUUUGCGAGGGUAGACAUCUUGUAACCGGUUGUGUAGCAGGGAAACGUUUAGUCAAUGUUUUUAGUCCCCCCACAUUUCAGAUGAGUUCACAUUGUUCACAUUAUGGCUUCGGCUGGGAGCUCUAAGUGGCCUUGAUAGCAGUAUUUAUCCCAGCCUUGCUAAUCUCAGCGGCUACAGUCUCAAUUAAGCAGAAAAGAGAGAACUCUAGCAAAAUUUGCUGACCACAACUUUUAAGUUUCGUCAUACUGAUUCAUUCUCUUUUGAGUUUCUUUCCCAGGAACGGUGGGACCUGCUAGAAAGCCUUACACCACCUGCUUGUCCAGCGAAGACAAGGUUGUUGGGGCCAAGGUGGUAACCAACGCCCACAGUCCUGGGGCUCGGUGCUACGAACGGAGGUGCAUGGAAGAAUGAUCUCCGUAGAGAAGGCCAAAAAUGAGCCUGCUCGGAAGAACGUAUCUGACAGAAAAGAGUGCGAAGUGAAGCGGAAAAAAUUAUCCAGGGCUAGCAGAUACCACUGUGUGGAGAUGAAAAUCUGUGCAAAGCAGUACAGCCAAAUUGAAGAGCUUCAUAAUUAGGAUAGUAGAAAUACUAUUUCUGUAAAUGAUUUUGAAGGCAUAUUCAUUUUUUAAAAAAAUUACAGCUGAUGGCUUUAAACAGCUUCAUUUAAUUUUACAGAAGGACAACUAUGCAGAAGUAGACUGAAUAGCAUUGUGACACAAAGUAGGGGCCUAGUUCUUUAACUAUUUAGCCACUUCCAUCCCUCCCCUGUAUCUUAACAAUGAACCAACAGUUUUCUGUUCAACCAAGCCACAUAAUGCAAAACCUAAAUUUCUGUGGUGGUUCUCUCUCCAGUAAGAUGUCACCAUGUGCCAUUUGAGGCAGCAGCGAUGUCUUAUUUAUCACUGGGUAUGUGAGCAAAAAGAACCCAACUCCCUUUCAGACUCAGAGCAACAGUAUGUGAUAACCUCUUGAAAAGCAGCCAAUGCGGGUCAAGAGCCCUGGAGAGCAGCUACACCCACACUUCAUGCUAACAUGUGCGCCACCUCAAAGUAAAUCCUACACUACUCUACCCAGGAGGAAUAACUUCCCUCAUUUCACAGCUGGACAAACAGUCUCAGUAGGAAGUGGUGACAAGUUAUACCCCCAGCUCUGAUACUGCAACCUGGGUUUUUAACCACUGGGCCACACUGCUCCAUCAAAGAAAAUCCAGAAGACUAGUCUAGUUUUGCUGCAUGGAAUGUAAGAUUUACCUCCAGAAGCAGGGAGAAGGGAAUCACGUGAGAGGCAUGAAAUUCCUCCCGAGGCAGAAGAGCAUCCCCAAGACAGAGGGCAGGAACAUGGGCACCCCCAGCCACAUGACGUAAUCGAGGGAGGACGAUGAGAUUGAAAAGUGAAGCUUCUGCUAGAGCUGAGGAAAAGCUAACGGGCAAGAGGCAUCAACUCUGCCACAACGGCCUCACCACAGCCUUCCCCCCUGUCCCCACGUUUUCAAGUAAACCCACUAAAGAUCUGAGACUCUUGCUGGGAAAUCCUCAACCCACAUGUAAGAGACAGAAGACAAAGAUGAAAUUGAGCUUGUUCUUCUCAUGUGCUAAUCCUGCAACGGGAACGAGUGUGGCCAUAGACUGUGUUGUUUUCCAAGGCUGAGUGGGGCCCUGGGCUGCCCAGGUGAAGCGUGGGCUUCUCCUUGCCUCAGACACAAACAGGGAAGGCCCUUGGGAGCAGACACACCAACCACAGCUUCACUAGGCGCACGUGGAGCAGACCAGUCCACGACGCAGAAGCACGCGAGUGCUGCAUGCUCACCAGGCACCUUCCCACACAGCCAGGCGAGCCCCACCCCGAGGCUUGCCAGCACUGCGCAGUGUGGUCAGUGAGCGCCGCACACACAAACUCAGUCAGGGUCUGGGCCAAAAGAGGCUUCAGAGUAACUCUCUGGAUUCAAGGCCAAGACCAAGCACAAACAUCCCACAUUUUCAUCCCAAACACAAAGGUGCUCUGCUUUUCCUUCCCUCACUUUUCCUCUCACUCCAGUGGGAGGAAGGAGGAUGUGAGCAGAGGGGAAAGGAAGCAACGCUGUGGGAAAAG